Long non-coding RNA from Patella vulgata (common limpet), 581 nucleotides. RefSeq lists it as uncharacterized. NCBI's taxonomy places the organism in Eukaryota, Metazoa, Mollusca, Gastropoda, Patellidae. The transcript has 3 exons. The record is from RefSeq and is a predicted model, not a curated record.
GCGUGUUCGAGACUUUAUAUGGAAAUCCAAAAUAAUGCUACCAGGGACUAAUUGUUCUGGACUACUAGAGUAUCAAACCGCUUCCGGUGUCACAGAAGUGUUCAACGUCUGGGUGAUAUCGACUACCCUUUUGACAGGAGAACAAGCUCCGGGACAAAGAGGAGUUGGCUAUUUUGUCGUUGAGGAGAGGAACUAGUCGAUUGAUAAGUUAGAAAGAAUGAGAGACUCGAGUGGAGAGUGUUUAGGUAUUUACACAAACGAUUCACUCCAUUGAUUCAAAAUCUUUUCAGUGGAGAAACUAAGAACUAUUUUAACAACAUGUGGACUCAAUUAAAACCGAUUUUUUUAUUGCAUUUUAGUAACUUUGACAACCACAAACAGGAAGAAAAUAUUUAGAUUUUGAAUUAUUUCUGGCAAUUUUACAUAUUGAAACGCGAGCUUUUCAAAGUCGACGGAUGCCUCGUGAAAAUAAAUAAACUCGUAUUUAAGUGCAUAAAAAAUAGUAAAAUAAACAUGUCGCAUUUUCAAAGCACAAAAUAAAGUAAGAACCCUGAACUAUAGCUUCAGGUGUGAUGAGUAUU